CGGAAUGUAGCGCAGCCCGGUAGCGCACUUGACUGGGGGUCAAGGGGUCGUCGGUUCAAAUCCGGCCAUUCCGACCA
This 77-nucleotide transfer RNA is filed under the name compost metagenome. RNAcentral's name for it is "tRNA-Pro". It matches the Rfam family "tRNA". Rfam says of the family: Transfer RNA (tRNA) molecules are approximately 80 nucleotides in length. Their secondary structure includes four short double-helical elements and three loops (D, anti-codon, and T loops). Further hydrogen bonds mediate the characteristic L-shaped molecular structure. tRNAs have two regions of fundamental functional importance: the anti-codon, which is responsible for specific mRNA codon recognition, and the 3' end, to which the tRNAs corresponding amino acid is attached (by aminoacyl-tRNA synthetases). tRNAs cope with the degeneracy of the genetic code in two manners: having more than one tRNA (with a specific anti-codon) for a particular amino acid; and 'wobble' base-pairing, i.e. permitting non-standard base-pairing at the 3rd anti-codon position. The record is from RNAcentral.